GUGCCAGCCGCCGCGGUAAUACAGAGGGGGCAAGCGUUGUUCGGAAUUACUGGGCGUAAAGGGCGCGUAGGCGGCCUGCUAAGUCGAUCGUGAAAUCCCCGGGCUUAACCCGGGAACUGCGACCGAUACUGGUUGGCUUGAAUUCGGGAGAGGGAUGCGGAAUUCCAGGUGUAGCGGUGAAAUGCGUAGAUAUCUGGAGGAACACCGGUGGCGAAGGCGGCAUCCUGGACCGGCAUUGACGCUGAGGCGCGAAAGCCAGGGGAGCAAACGGGAUUAGAAACCCCGGUAGUCC
This 292-nucleotide ribosomal RNA is filed under the name uncultured bacterium. Its description in RNAcentral is "partial 16S ribosomal RNA". It matches the Rfam family "Bacterial small subunit ribosomal RNA", at positions 505 to 796 of the family's 1533-position model. The record is from RNAcentral.